GCAUAUCAAUAAGCGGAGGAAAAGAAACCAACAGGGAUUGCCCUAGUAACGGCGAGUGAAGCGGCAACAGCUCAAAUUUGAAAUCUGGCUCUUUCAGGGUCCGAGUUGUAAUUUGCAGAGGGCGCUUUGGCGUUGGCAGCGGUCCAAGUUCUUUGGAACAGGACGUCACAGAGGGUGAGAAUCCCGUACGUGGUCGCUAGCCUUCGCCGUGUAAAGCCCCUUCGACGAGUCGAGUUGUUUGGGAAUGCAGCUCUAAAUGGGAGGUAAAUUUCUUCUAAAGCUAAAUACUGGCCAGAGACCGAUAGCGCACAAGUAGAGUGAUCGAAAGAUGAAAAGCACUUUGGAAAGAGAGUCAAAUAGCACGUGAAAUUGUUGAAAGGGAAGCGCUUGCAGCCAGACUUGCCUGUAGUUGCUUAUCCGGACUUUUGUCCGGUGCACUCUUCUGCGGGCAGGCCAGCAUCAGUCUAGGCGGUUGGAUAAAGGUCUCUGUCAUGUACCUCUCUUCGGGGAGGCCUUAUAGGGGAGACGACAUGCAACCAGCCUGGACUGAGGUCCGCGCAUCUGCUAGGAUGCUGGCGUAAUGGCUGUAAGCGGCCCGUCUUGAAACACGGACCAAGGAGUCUAACAUCUAUGCGAGUGUUUGGGUGUCAAGCCCAGACGCGUAAUGAAAGUGAACGGAGGUGGGAACCCUUUGGGUGCACCAUCGACCGAUCCUGAUGUCUUCGGAUGGAUUUGAGUAAGAGCAUGGCUGUUGGGACCCGAAAGAUGGUGAACUAUGCUUGAAUAGGGUGAAGCCAGAGGAAACUCUGGUGGAGGCUCGCAGCGGUUCUGACGUGCAAAUCGAUCGUCAAAUUUGGGCAUAGGGGCGAAAGACUAAUCGAACUAUCUAGUAGCUGGUUCCUGCCGAAG
RNAcentral lists this ribosomal RNA (909 nucleotides) under Neosetophoma cerealis. Its description in RNAcentral is "partial large subunit ribosomal RNA". It matches the Rfam family "Eukaryotic large subunit ribosomal RNA", at positions 38 to 966 of the family's 3401-position model. Lineage: Eukaryota; Fungi; Ascomycota; Dothideomycetes; Pleosporales; Phaeosphaeriaceae. The record is from RNAcentral.